UUAGCAUGGAAUAAUAAAAUAGGACGUGUGGUUCUAUUUUGUUGGUUUCUAGGACCGCCGUAAUGAUUAAUAGGGACAGUCGGGGGCAUCAGUAUUCAAUUGUCAGAGGUGAAAUUCUUGGAUCUAUUGAAGACUAACUACUGCGAAAGCAUUUGCCAAGGAUGUUUUCAUUGAUAAGGAACGAAAGUUAGGGGAUCGAAGACGAUCAGAUACCGUCGUAGUCUUAACUAUAAACUAUGCCGACUAGGGAUCGGACGAUGUUAUCUUUUGACUCGUUCGGCACCUUUCGAGAAAUCAAAGUGCUUGGGCUCCAGGGGGAGUAUGGUCGCAAGGCUGAAACUUAAAGAAAUUGACGGAAGGGCACCACCAGGGGUGGAACCUGCGGCUUAAUUUGACUCAACACGGGGAAACUCACCAGGUCCAGACACAGUGAGGAUUGACAGAUUGAUAGCUCUUUCUUGAUUCUGUGGGUGGUGGUGCAUGGCCGUUCUUAGUUGGUGGAGUGAUUUGUCUGCUUAAUUGCGAUAACGAACGAGACCUUAACCUGCUAAAUAGCCCUUAUUGCUUCGGCAGUAUGCUGGCUUCUUAGAGGGACUAUCGGCUCAAGCCGAUGGAAGUUUGAGGCAAUAACAGGUCUGUGAUGCCCUUAGAUGUCCUGGGCCGCACGCGCGUUACACUGACAAAGCCAGCGAGUAUUUCCUUGGCCGGAAGGCCCGGGUAAUCUUGUUAAACUUUGUCGUGCUGGGGAUAGAGCAUUGCAAU
This 762-nucleotide ribosomal RNA is filed under the name uncultured Sordariomycetes. RNAcentral describes it as "SSU rRNA". It matches the Rfam family "Eukaryotic small subunit ribosomal RNA", at positions 804 to 1590 of the family's 1831-position model. Lineage: Eukaryota; Fungi; Ascomycota; Sordariomycetes. The record is from RNAcentral.